RNAcentral lists this long non-coding RNA (5896 nucleotides) under Homo sapiens (human). RNAcentral describes it as "HSALNT0349462". Lineage: Eukaryota; Metazoa; Chordata; Mammalia; Primates; Hominidae. The record is from RNAcentral.
AGUAAACAUUCAUCUCCCUGACUCAGGCUGCUGCUUAGAAAUUCUGUUUCGGUUGCAGUUCCAUUGUGUGGAGCCAGUACUACAACUUUUCCUCCUGCAUUCAUUUCUCUUCCUGCUGCCUUGUGAAGAAGGUGCCUUGCUUCCCCUUCACCUUCUACGGUGAUUGCAAGUUGCCUGAGGAUUCCCCAGCCAUGUGAAACUUUCACAGAGUUUGAGAGAAACUGUAUUCAAGUUGCUGAAACCAAGAAGCUACACUCACGAGUCUCACCUAAACUCGAAUCUGAUUUAGAUGACAUCAUCCUGGACUUUGAGUUGAUGAAACCUUGGAGGUCUUGGGAGUAAAGCAAGUGUGAUUUGCAUAUGAUGGAUAUGAAUUGUAAUGGCCAGAGCAUGGCUGUGAGAUGAAAACUCCCAUUUUAGGGAACCAAGACUGAAUUCCAUAAUUUACAUGGAUGUUUGGAAGGUGUCUGCAACUUAAUCUGUGUUCGUUUCUGAGAUGUUGGGCAACUCCUUCUUGGAAGAUGUGGUAAUGGUCUCUUCGAAAAGAAAAUAAUCAUCUGAGUUUUGGCCAAAAUAGUUGAUCGGAUUACCUAUGAAAAUGACUCUCACCCAACUACAAGAAUGUUAUGAUGUAGAAACUCUAAAUAUAUGAGUAAUUAACUAUACAACACUCCAUCCCCAUGUGAAAAUCUUUAAUCUUUUAAGAUACUGAAAUUUUGUGUAUGUCUCAUAAUUUUCUGUAUAUGGUCAAUGAGUUUUGCCUUAGCCAUAAGUGGUCUGUCUGAAAUCUUCUCUAUUAUUUGUGCAUUUUCUUCCUGAUGUACCAAGCCUAGUCUGUUUGUUUUUUCCUAAGAGAAAAGCAGAUGAUUCAACUGUGUAUUUCUCAGUGUUGAUAUUGUGGUUUGAGGUAUUUCAUAAUCUUGAGUAAAAUCUUGUCAAUUUUAUGCUAUGCCUUGUGGGAACAUAUUUUUACUUUUAAGUCUCUUUGGCAAGUGGAGCUUCCUUUGUGUUUCCUCACCAAAUGUAUUCCCCAUUGUUUUCUGAUUAAUUCUUUUUCAGAAUGUUUACUCCUUCUUACCUCAAUGUCAUUACUUUUCAGUCUUGGCUUUGGGUAAACCUAGGACAAGAAUUGGAUAUCCAAAGCCAAUUUCAAUAUAAAAACUAUAAUAUCUAUCAAAAUCUAUGUAAAAUCCUGUGUAUAUUUCUCUUCUUUGUUGAACAGGGGCUUAUAAUCAUGUAGGUAAAUACACGUGGUUUUGAUUUCAGCACUGAUUACUGAAGAUUUGUCUUCCAUUCUUCUGGGCCAGGCCCAUACACAACCAUAGUUAGAAGUAAAAACUAUUUGUUAUACCUGGAAUGCCUUUCCUUUCAAUCUCUGAAUGUCUAAAAUUACUUUUUCUUUGAAGACCACCUCAGGUGACCCUACUGUGGGGAAAAUGCCUGAAUUAUCUUUGUAAUCCCAGCUCAGCCACUUAAAGAUUGUGUAAGUUUAGUGUCAGCAUAUUACUUAAGUUCUUUUAGAUUUAGUUUCCUCAUAUGUAAGCUGGGGAUAAUAAUACCUACCUCAUAGAAAAUGAAUGAGAAUCAAGUUAUAUAAUAUAUGAACAACACUUGACACUGUGUGUGAACACUCAAUACAUGUAAAUCAUUAUUAUUAGCAAAAUGAUUAUUAGGUUCUCAUGCUAAUCCACAAUUUUUAUUGGCAGAUAUCCAUUAGUUUAUAGUUAAUGUUAUUCAUAAUCUUUUCUUCAUAUUCAAAUAGGAAGAGAUGACUUCUCAAUCUAGUUAAUCCUGGAUGUGUAUUUCUCUUAAUUUAUUGAGUGUAAAAUGCUUAUUUAUAUACAUACAAUUUCCCUUAUUAGUGAACAUCUAGAAGGCAGAAUGGUACUUCAUUUCUUUCUGUAUGUUUAGCACCAAGGACAGUACCUGGCACAUAGAAGAUACAUAUUAAAAACAAAUAAAACAACUCUUAAUGGAUCUCAUUUUAAAAAAAUUCUCGGUUAAUUAUAAAGGCUCUAGUAAACCAAAUAAUUGUAUGUUAACUUAUUUACUUUUAUUACUGUGUUUAUUUUCUCCAACUGCUUCAUCAUACAAAGUAAACACCUGAAUGUAAGCUGCAUGAGGGCAAGAGCUGUGUCUUGUUUACUGCUCUCAAGAACAUUUGAGCAAAGUGCCUGGCACAUGGCAGACACUCAAUAAGUUACAAUUAAUACUCAAUGUAUGAACUGAUCUAUACUUAGAAUUGACUAAGAAGAAUAAGUCUUACACAGACUCAGUCUCUGAGAACUUGAAAAUCUAAGUUUGCAUAUCUCUGCUGUUGUGUUUUCAGGUUACUCAGUAGAAAACCAAGUUAUUUACACAUCCUCAAGUGUCUCAAGGUUAAAUCUUCCAUGCAUAAAAUAUCUGGGCGAUUGAUUGUGUUUCUUACUUUGCUCCUAAGUAUGUUAGCAUCAUAUAGGCAUAGCCUAAGCCAGACCAAAAUGAAUUCAUUGAUUGACUCAACAAAUGUUUAUGGAUCUCAGAUAUUAUAUGGAGAUGGUGUCAAACAACGGGAUGUGCUAUGGAAUUUGAUGUGGAGGCUGAAGGAAAGAGGAAUCUAGGCGGACUCACAGAUUUUUUGGCUUGAGUAACUUGGUGAGUAACUGAUAGUGCCACUUAAGAAGGAUGGAAGAAUGAAGGAGGAAGAGUUUUGUAGGGGAAAUUAAGUAUUUUAGCUUAAUCUUAAUCAUUUUGAGAUGCCUACUAAAUACAGAAAUAUUUAGGAUCCACUUUCAUCAUCUUCAUCCAUCCCUUGUACUUUUCCACUCCUAAUUUCCUAGACCUUCAUUCUAAGCAGUGCUCAGCACUUAAUGCUAUAGCUCUCUACACAGGAUGCUAUCUAAAAUAUAACAAUUCUUGCCGGGUGCAGUGGCUCAUGCCUGUAAUCCCAGCACUUUGGGAGGCCGAGGUGGGCAGAUCACCUGAGGUCAGAAGUUCGAGACCAGCCUGGCCAACAUGGUGAAACCCUGACUCUACUAAAAAUACAAAAAUUAGCAGGAUGUGGUGGUGCAUGCCUUUAAUCCCAGCUACUUUAGAGGCUGAGACAGGAGAAUGGCUUGAACUUGGGAGGCAGAGGUUGCAGUGAGCUGAGAUGGCACCACUGCACUCCAGCCUGGAUGACAGAGUGAGACUCUGUCUCAAAAAAAAAAAAAAAAAAAAAAAAAACUAAAAACAAUUGUGGUACACAGGCAGUACUCUGGUGCACACUAAGAUGUGGUUGUCUGAUUAACAGCUAAAUGCAUUGCUUUCCUUAAAAGCUUUGCUUUCUGUCAGAUAAUCCUAUGUUAACAUAAAGAAAAUAAGCCACCAUGGAGAACGUCCAGGCAACAGUACUCUGACAGCAUUAUUAUUGAAUAGUAGGCCCUCACACACUAUUUUCUAUACCCAUAUUUUUGGUAUAAAAUCCGUAGAACACACUUUAAAUGAAUUCUUAAGUUUGCUUUGUGGAGAUAGAAUAAAAGUAGAAAUAGCUACGUCAUUCAUUUUUUAAAAAUUUGAGUCUAUCACUUGUUUGUGUUUUAUCUGGUAUGUUGAUGCUCACUUUUUUACAUCACUGAUCUAGUUCAUAUUGAAAACAUAAAUAAUUAUGGAAGACAAGUUUCUUAUUUAAUUCUAUAAGAGUAAGUAGAAUGUAUGUAUAUGGUUGUGGGUGUGCAAGCACAUACAUAUAUUUGGUCUAUUUUUACAAUUAUCGAAAGUCAAAGUAAUCCAUGUGAUUGUGGUAUGACACCAAAAAUGACAACUCACUGUACUCUGUUCUAUUUUUAAAAAAUUUUUCUCCACUCAUUUCUUCUGUUCCCCCGUGCUCCUCACUCAAGUUUUGCAUUUUCCCCAAAGAAUGCAGGCAUCACUUUUUUUUUCCAUAACAAAAAUUUCAAAGUGAAACACAAGCUCUGGGUAAGUAACGAGAUAUUGAAUUCAAAAUUUCAACUGUGGCAACUGGAUCCAAUAGAUAUGAAAUAUCAAAGUAAAAUGCCAGGCAAAGAUGCAGAUUUUUAAGUUUAAGUUAUGGAGCUUCCUGAAUUUUUAUCUAAGUGUAGAGAUGGAGAUAAGGCUUGCGGAGAGAGGUAAAACAUGCAUUUGUGAUUUUAUGUCACAAAUUUCAGCUUAUGCAAUUAAUUGGUUACAGAACCUGUGGUAGAAUUUAGAAAGACACAUGCAUAUGUAUGUUUAUUGUAGCACUAUUCACAAUAGCAAAGACUCAGAACCAACCAAAAUGCCCAUCAAUGUUAGACUGGAUGAAGAAAAUAUGGCACAUAUACACCAUGGAGUACUAUGCAGCCAUAAGAAACAAUGAGUUCAUGCCCUUUGCAGGGACAUGGAUGAAGCUGGAAACCAUCAUUCUCAGCAAACUAACACAGGAACAGAAGACCAAACACUGCAUGUUCUCACUCAUAAGUGGGAGUUGAACAGUGAGAACAUACGGGCACAGGGAGGGGAACAUCAUAUACCGGGGUCUGUCAGUGUGUGGGUAGCAAGGAGAGGGAUAGCAUUAGGAGAAAUACCUAAUGUAGAUGACAGGUUAACGGGUGCAGCAAACCACCACGGCACUUGUAUACCUAUGUAACAAACCUGCACGUUCUGCACAUGUACCCCAGAACUUAAAGUAUAAUUUUAAAAAAAAUCUUCUCAUGGGCCUCAGCUAUGUUUAUGUAAGCAGCAUGUUUAUCAGCAUCUUGCUCCUUGACUGCAAUCUCAGACUGCAGGAGGUAUCUAGACAUAACUUGAAUAGAAAAACAAUGUUCAGUUUUUCAUCAUUCAUUCAAGAAACACUUGUGGAUAAUCUAAUGCAUGUUCACAACAUAUGAGGUUAGAACCACUGCUUUUAGUUUUAACAGAAUAACUGAAACUCUGACUCAAAUUUUAGCUGUACAUUUAGAAGCAAAUCCAAUGAUAAAAUCAUCUUUCAACCUUUUGAUUUGCUUGUAUUAAUUCAUGCUAGCAUUACACUACAGGACACAGAACAUCUUUAUAAAGCGCUACACGUGUAGAUUAUUUUCGAAAACAGUAUUUUUCAUCCCAAACAAUACUUUUCUCCCCAAACAAACUUAUCUGACCCUGUCAUUUUUUAUGGGUUAUUCUAAAGUACUAUUUUAUUAAAAGUGUCAACCCCUGUCCUCUAUAAUCUAUUUUCAGUUGCUACAUUUAUUAGUAAUCAAAUUAAUAAAGAAACUCUCCUUAGAAAACAUGAUACGGUCUUCCAUUUUAGCCUUGGGAAAAAUCUCAAGAAAUCUAGUUUAAAAGAUAUGUGUAAAAGAGCCUGGGAAUAUUCUACUUCUUUUAGCUAACCACCUGAUUUCACCAGGCCUCUUAUUUCUUGAUGGACUAGUCAUGCAUUGUGGUAGCUGGUGGUGGCAAUGAUGCUGGGAUGAAUAUGUCUUGCAGGACAUUAUGGUGAGUUAUUGAACGGAAGUCUAGGGAUUGUUCAACCCCUGAAAACAGACCACAUCCCAUUGCAGGAGGAAAUUUGGGUAAGGUUCUGCCUUUUCUCAUAAAAUCAGACUCUGAUCUAAUUUCUUUCACAAUUAAGCUUACCUAAAAUAUGUUCACACUGAAAGUUAAUGCAUUUUUGUCUGUCAGCAUUUGGUGUUGCCUUGGUGACAGUGUACAGACCAAUUGUUAAGAGCUUUUUUUGAAGCAACUUUGCCAGUUCUUUCAUCGUAGUGCAUAUGCAGCAUUAUAUGUUCAUUGUUAUUUGCUUCAUUUUCUACAACUGGAAAGAAUGUAUUUUGAAGCAGCAUAAGAGAGUAUAUUUGAAGAUUCCUCUUGUACUUUGAUAUAGUCAUUAAGAAAGCUUUUAAAGGAGUAAUACUUGGCAUUCGAAAUGUGAAACCAAAAGACUUCAAAUGGCAUUCGA